UAUCUAUGACUGGGUUGUGAUGCUGAGACCCAGCUCCUACGCGGAGGUGCUAGAAUAUGGCCAAUUGGCCGAAGACCUCAACUCAGCCAGGCACCAACACAUUGCCCAAGUAUGUACCCAACAACAAUAAUUUUAACAACCCAGAAGAAGAUUGCCCUGCCUAGUAAGUAGCCACCCUAAUAAACGAACCCAAAUUGCCCUUCCCCCUACCCUGCCUCCACCUACUGGACAACAUGUUCGACCUUCCCAGCCUUGUCAGCAUUGUGGUCACUCACAUGGUGACCUACCAUGUCGACGUAUCAAUCAUGCCUGCUAUCGAUGCAGAAGCAUCCAACACCUUAUAAAGGACUAUCCCCAGUGACCCAAAAGACAUGGCCAAGUUUAUAGCCCAAGGUCGUGUGUACCACCUAAAUGAACCCGGUACUCUCCCCACUACUGCUCUUAUC
RNAcentral lists this long non-coding RNA (446 nucleotides) under Carica papaya (papaya). RNAcentral describes it as "long non-coding RNA (CPAP_LNC002295)". Lineage: Eukaryota; Viridiplantae; Streptophyta; Magnoliopsida; Brassicales; Caricaceae. The record is from RNAcentral.